This 217-nucleotide long non-coding RNA is filed under the name Elaeis guineensis (African oil palm). RNAcentral describes it as "long non-coding RNA (EGUI_LNC038996)". The record is from RNAcentral. Lineage: Eukaryota; Viridiplantae; Streptophyta; Magnoliopsida; Arecales; Arecaceae.
CCAAUCCUUCAUUUCAGUUCUUUUCUCCUCAUUUUUUGUUACCAACUCAAUGAAACUCUUAAAGAUAAAACUAUUUUUAAAUUAUUAAAAAAAAUACCAAUUAAGCAUAUGGAAUGCAAAAAAAUUUAUAUUCGUAUUAGGAUAUGAAUAGCAAUUUAAGGGAUGUUUGGUUCGCAAUCGGAAUCAUAAUGGGAAUGAAAAUUGGAAAAGCUUGGAA